UAUGGUACUAAUACAGGGCGAAUUUUCUUCCAAACUCCAAUACUCGUGAACGAUUCCUUCCAUGAUAUACACGUGACGUACAGAUGUACUGCUUUCUUGGUUUUUGUGCUAAUCAUGCUUCUGUACGACCCCCAAUCAACUGUGUACUAAAACCAUGCGUCCUUCAUUAGCCUUCCUACAACAAUAUUAUGCCCAUUUGCUGCUCCAUAGCAGUACAAUGGGGCUGGAUCAGGGAGUACAAAUUGUAUGAUAAUUCAAUUAAAAGAUCCACAUCAAGUACUACCAAAUAUGGUGACUCCGUGGAGUACAUUUGAAAGGAAGUACUGGGUUUUUCUUGCUAUAUAACAAGGAAUGAAGCCCCAGCGGCAUUCAUUACCGAAGUUGAGCAAACGGAAGACACAGAGGCGUCCGAUCGUGGAGGAUUCCUACAGGAGCGACCUGAAAUCACAUGUGGGCUGCACCCUCCUGGGUUAUCUUGAGCAACAUGUGUUCUCAGGUCGCCCCUGCCGGGCUUUCCUCCAUAUGCUAGUUACUACAUUUCAGUGGUGGGCCCAGCUCUGAUGGUGUGCUUUGUACCAUUGGAUCUUCGCCUAGUUCCUUGUAUUUUUUUAUCAAACAGCAGUAUAAACAAGUAAUUUCAAUAUUCACAAUCCACGCGAUGGAAUGCUAAAAGAGUCGGUAUGUGAGACCCAUGAAAGCAAAAACUCAAGGCGUGCUAUUUUCGAUUUUAAGUUGUUCUUUUACGCAAAUGGACAGGUAUGGCAAUGCAAGCUCUUGUUAUUUUUUUGCUCUAAAAGUUAUGCUCCUGUUGUGUUGCUAAUGCGGCACCUUGAACAAGAUAAGAGCAAUCACACUGACAGCAGAGUACAGACCUACCUUGACAUAGCUGAAAGCAGUUUACAAGAAUGAUGGGAACAAACCUGAACAAAAUGCAUCACGAAAAUAUCAAAGUUGAUGCUAGGCCAUGUUUCCUCGCAGCAUGCUCCACUCCCAUUGAAAAUUUAUCACUUUAGACAGGAGUAAUAAGAGCGUGCCGAGUGCCUGGAAACCAGUUUGAGCCAUGCCAGCUGCUUUGCGUAAAUUCCAGUAAUUUCAUUUCCCAUAAGAAUGAGGUUGUUAAAGGGUUGCAGAUGAAUAUCAAUGAGAAUAAAUUGAGUAAAUAGGGCACCAUAAAGAAAUCAAAAAUGUUAUUCUGGGGACUUCUACACCAAAAUCCUCACAUCAGACAUAAUAGCAAGCAGCUCUUCUUCCCCGACUUUCUUCCAAACCCCAUUUAUCAUUAGACAACCUUUGUCAUCUUUUGACAACAAAACAUUCUCGCCCUCUGAUUCAAAACUGUCUGCUGUCUCUCUCAUCUUCUUAACACUUGCUUUAUCCAAUAGAUAAAUAUCAGAAUCAGCUUCUCUCUUGCUACCAGUCCUCUCGACACUAGUGUAAUCUGAUAAAGGAAUAUCACCACUAGGUUCUCUUAUGCUACAUUGUUUCAGUUCCCAGAUCUGCUUCCUUUCUGAUGCAUGCACAGACUUUUUACCGUCGUCAUCACAGUCGAGAACAGGAAGACAGCCAGAAGAUCCAAGGUCACGAGGCAACAUGCCAAUUGGACAUGGGUUCCAUGAUUUUGCCACAAUCCAUCUGCCUGAACUACCCACAUCACCAUCUGUUCUCUUAGCAACUUUACUCUUUGUUCGGCAAAGUUUUACAAAGUCUAGCUUCUUGGUGGCCUGAUGGAUAGAUUGAUCUUGCUGGGUAAGAAAGCUAUUCAAACUCAGGGGAGGAGACUUCUCUUGGGUAACCUCUGGGUCUGAUAAAGCUAGCAAACUUAGUUUUUUGAGUUUAUCCAUCACAGAGCUAUCACCCAUCAACUGUGCAAGAUGCAGUGCUGAACCCAUAAGCUGUUUAUUGCCAUAUGAGAACACCAGAAGGCAUUUUCGGAGAACCUCCAUCAGGAUUGCGUUGGAUAAAUUCAUUCCUAUUGAAGAGGCUAAGCUUUCAGCUGCAGAUUGUUUACAGCGAAGAGGCUUUAGUCCCUUGAGUUGUCCAACAAGCCAUGCAAACAAGGAAGAAAGUCGAUCAAUUUGGCGAUUCUCUGUUCCCUGCUCCCAUGAUAUGAGAUGUGUUCCUAAACAAGAUUUCAGAAAAGGUCAAUAAAGAGAACAUUAAAUCAAAACCAUUUAUGUGAUUAUUAUUGCAUUGAACCUUUUUGAAGCUAUCAUGUACAGGCAGCUAUAUGUCAUUCUGCAUCAAGCUGGCAUUCAUUGUAAACCAGGUACUUACAUGGUUAAUCAGAUAUAGCUCAUAAACUGGUUGAAAAGAGUUCAACAAAUAUGAGGUUGGGCA
Molecule: long non-coding RNA, 2337 nt
Organism: Populus trichocarpa (black cottonwood)
Lineage: Eukaryota; Viridiplantae; Streptophyta; Magnoliopsida; Malpighiales; Salicaceae
Exons: 2
Source: RefSeq, a predicted model, not a curated record